RNAcentral lists this ribosomal RNA (292 nucleotides) under uncultured Acidobacteriota bacterium. RNAcentral's name for it is "uncultured Acidobacteria bacterium partial 16S ribosomal RNA". The record is from RNAcentral. Lineage: Bacteria; Pseudomonadati; Acidobacteriota.
GGACUACCAGGGUAUCUAAUCCCGUUUGCUCCCCUAGCUUUCGCGCCUCAGCGUCAAGAACAGGCCAGAAAGUCGCCUUCGCCACUGGUGUUCCUCCCGAUAUCUACGCAUUUCACCACUACACCGGGAAUUCCACUUCCCUCUCCUGUCUUCGAGCCGAGCAGUAUCGAAUGACCCUCCCCAGUUAAGCCGGGGGCUUUCACAUUCGACUGACUUGGCCGCCUGCGCGCUCUUUACGCCCAGUAAAUCCGGACAACGCUUGCCACCUACGUAUUACCGCGGCUGCUGGCAC